UGCAAGUCGAACGAAGUAGCAAUACUUAGUGGCAGACGGGUGAGUAACAUGUAGGUAUCUACCCUAUGGCCUGGAAUAACACGAGGAAACUUGUGCUAAUACCGGAUAAGUCUUUACGGAGAAAGCUUUAUGCACCAUUGGAUGAGCCUGCACUUGAUUAGUUUGUUGGUGGGGUAAUGGCCUACCAAGACUGUGAUCAAUAGCUGAUUUGAGAGGAUGAUCAGCCACAUUGGGACUGAGACACGGCCCAAACUCCUACGGGAGGCAGCAGUGGGGAAUCUUGCACAAUGGAGGAAACUCUGAUGCAGCGAUGCCGCGUGAGUGAAGAAGGCCCUUGGGUUGUAAAGCUCUUUCGUCGGGGAAGAAAAUGACUGUACCCGAAUAAGAAGGUCCGGCUAACUUCGUGCCAGCAGCCGCGGUAAUACGAAGGGACCUAGCGUAGUUCGGAAUUACUGGGCUUAAAGAGUUCGUAGGUGGUUGAAAAAGUUGGUGGUGAAAUCCCAGAGCUUAACUCUGGAACUGCCAUCAAAACUUUUCAGCUAGAGUAUGAUAGAGGAAAGCAGAAUUUCUAGUGUAGAGGUGAAAUUCGUAGAUAUUAGAAAGAAUACCAAUUGCGAAGGCAGCUUUCUGGAUCAUUACUGACACUGAGGAACGAAAGCAUGGGUAGCGAAGAGGAUUAGAUACCCUCGUAGUCCAUGCCGUAAACGAUGUGUGUUAGACGUUGGAAAUUUAUUUUCAGUGUCGCAGCGAAAGCGAUAAACACACCGCCUGGGGAGUACGACCGCAAGGUUAAAACUCAAAUGAAUUGACGGGGACCCGCACAAGUAGUGGAGCAUGUGGUUUAAUUCGAAGAUACGCGCAGAACCUUACCAACACUUGACAUGUUCGUCGCGACUUUAAGAGAUUAAAGUUUUCGGUUCGGCCGGACGAAACACAGGUGCUGCAUGGCUGUCGUCAGCUCGUGUC
RNAcentral lists this ribosomal RNA (966 nucleotides) under uncultured marine bacterium. RNAcentral's name for it is "bacterial SSU rRNA". It matches the Rfam family "Bacterial small subunit ribosomal RNA", at positions 56 to 1066 of the family's 1533-position model. The record is from RNAcentral.